Molecule: ribosomal RNA, 789 nt
Filed under: uncultured bacterium
Lineage: Bacteria
Description: bacterial SSU rRNA
Rfam family: Bacterial small subunit ribosomal RNA
Source: RNAcentral
AGAGUUUGAUCAUGGCUCAGAGUUAACGCUGGCAGCGUGCAUAACACAUGCAAGUCGAGCGAGAUUGUUUGAGAUUAUAUCAAGGACAGUCUAGCGGCAGACGGGUGAGUAACACGUGAGAAAUCUGCCUCCGAAAGGGGAACAACUCGCCGAAAGGGGGCUAAUGCCCCGUACAAUCCCUAGAAGGCAUCUCCAGGGGAUGAAAGGCGUAAGCCGUUCGGAGAGGAUCUUGCGGCCUAUCAGCUAGUUGGCGGGGUAAAAGCCCACCAAGGCGAUGACGGGUAGCCGGACUGAAAGGUCGAUCGGCCACAAGGGCACUGAGACACGGGCCCUACUCCUACGGGAGGCAGCAGUGGGGAAUUUUGGACAAUGGGGGAAACCCUGAUCCAGCAACGCUGCGUGGAGGAUGAAGGUCUUCGGAUUGUAAACUCCUUUUGUCCCUGACGAAUACCCGCAAGGGUUCGACGGUAGGGGAUGAAUAAGCCACGGCUAACUUCGUGCCAGCAGCCGCGGUAAGACGAAGGUGGCGAGCGUUACUCGGAAUCACUAGGCGUAAAGCGCGUGUAGGCGGGUGCUUAAGUCUGUCGUGAAAUCUCUCGGCUUAACCGGGAGGGGUCGACGGAUACUGGGCAUCUUGAGUGAAGCAGGGGUUGCCAGAAUUCCCGGUGUAGCGGUGAAAUGCGUAGAUAUCGGGAGGAAUACCCGUGGCGAAGGCGGGCAACUGGGCUUCCACUGACGCUGAGACGCGAAAGCUAGGGGAGCAAACAGGAUUAGAUACCCUAGUAGUCC